GAAAUCCUGUACUACGGAACCUGGGGUACAGUGUGUGAUGAUGACUGGGAUUUGGUUGAUGCUGAUGUGGUCUGCAGGCAGCUGGGCUGUGGAAAAGCCAUUGCUGCUCCUGGAAAUGCCUACUUUGGUCCUGGUUCAGGCUAUAUCCUCAUGGAUGAUGUAGCUUGCAGAGGAAAGGAAUCCUAUGUGUGGGAAUGCCCAAACAGUGGCUGGUUUUGGAGUAAUUGUGGACAUAAAAAAGAUGCUGGUGUUAUAUGUUCAGGAGUAACAGACUAGGACUGCACCACGCCAUUCACAGCAGUGUAACUGUCAAGAAUUCUGCAGUCAGAUAAAACAAGAAGGAUGAAGCAUUACAGAACGUUCUCUCAAAAUAUAUUUUAUAGCUGUACGUUGCAGUAGCAUGAUGCUGUAUGUGAUGAAACUGAAUGCAAUAUAUAAUAAAGCACAUCAUACCAAUCACUUCAACUGUUCAACAGUUUUUAAUUCACUUUAAAAUUCUUAAAUGGACAGCGAAACUAACUAGAGCACUUCAACACCGAGUAUGUUUUUAUAAAUAAAUACAUGUACAAUAAAGAUGUGUUAAACAAUGCACUGCCGAUACAGUCUUUAGUGAGUACUUAUGAAAAAGUACUAUAUU
Molecule: long non-coding RNA, 637 nt
Organism: Protopterus annectens (West African lungfish)
Lineage: Eukaryota; Metazoa; Chordata; Ceratodontiformes; Protopteridae
Exons: 3
Source: RefSeq, a predicted model, not a curated record